Molecule: ribosomal RNA, 253 nt
Filed under: uncultured bacterium
Lineage: Bacteria
Description: partial 16S ribosomal RNA
Rfam family: Bacterial small subunit ribosomal RNA
Source: RNAcentral
UACGGAGGGUGCGAGCGUUGUCCGGAAUCACUGGGCGUAAAGGGCGCGUAGGCGGCCUGGUAAGUAGGGGGUGAAAUCCUGCGGCUUAACCGCAGGGCUGCCUUCUAAACUGUCAGGCUUGAGCACAGUAGAGGCAGGUGGAAUUCCCGGUGUAGCGGUGGAAUGCGUAGAGAUCGGGAAGAACAUCAGUGGCGAAGGCGGCCUGCUGGGCUGUUGCUGACGCUGAGGCGCGACAGCGUGGGGGGCAAACAGG